ACCUCGGUGGUGUAGUGGUAGCACGCGUCCUCCUUGUGGAUGAAAGACGGGUUCGACUCCCGCUGAAGGUC
Parelaphostrongylus tenuis is the source of this 71-nucleotide non-coding RNA. The record is from the annotation of a GenBank genome assembly. Lineage: Eukaryota; Metazoa; Nematoda; Chromadorea; Rhabditida; Metastrongylidae.